GAUGAACGCUGGCGGCGUGCCUAAUACAUGCAAGUCGAGCGAACAGACGAGGAGCUUGCUCCUCUGACGUUAGCGGCGGACGGGUGAGUAACACGUGGAUAACCUACCUAUAAGACUGGGAUAACUUCGGGAAACCGGAGCUAAUACCGGAUAAUAUAUUGAACCGCAUGGUUCAAUAGUGAAAGACGGUUUUGCUGUCACUUAUAGAUGGAUCCGCGCCGCAUUAGCUAGUUGGUAAGGUAACGGCUUACCAAGGCGACGAUGCGUAGCCGACCUGAGAGGGUGAUCGGCCACACUGGAACUGAGACACGGUCCAGACUCCUACGGGAGGCAGCAGUAGGGAAUCUUCCGCAAAGGGCGAAAGCUUGACGGAGCAACGCCGCGUGAGUGAUGAAGGUCUUCGGAUCGUAAAACUCUGUUAUUAGGGAAGAACAAAUGUGUAAGUAACUAUGCACGUCUUGACGGUACCUAAUCAGAAAGCCACCGCUAACUACGUG
This 497-nucleotide ribosomal RNA is filed under the name uncultured bacterium. RNAcentral describes it as "partial 16S ribosomal RNA". It matches the Rfam family "Bacterial small subunit ribosomal RNA", at positions 28 to 507 of the family's 1533-position model. The record is from RNAcentral.